AUACCCGNGUAGUNCUAGCCGUAAAGGAUACUCCCUAGGUGUCGGCCACGGUGCGACCGUUGUCGGUGCAGUAGGGAAGCCGUGAAGCGAGCCACCUGGGAAGUACGGCCGCAAGGCUGAAACUUAAAGGAAUUGGCGGGGGAGCACCACAACGGGUGGAGCUUGCGGUUUAAUUGGAUUCAACGCCGGAAAUCUUACCGGGACCGACAGCAAUAUGAAGGCCAGGCUGAAGACUUUGCCGGAUUAGCUGAGAGGUGGUGCAUGGCCGUCGUCAGUUCGUACUGUGAAGCAUCCUGUUAAGUCAGGCAACGAGCGAGACCCACGCCCACAGUUGCCAGCGUACUCUCCGGAGUGACGGGUACACUGUGGGGACCGCCGCUGCUAAAGCGGAGGAAGGAAUGGGCAACGGUAGGUCAGUAUGCCCCGAAUAUCCCGGGCUACACGCGAGCUACAAUGGUUGGUACAAUGGGUAUCUACCCCAAAAGGGGAUGGAAAUCUCCUAAAGCCAAUCUUAGUUCGGAUUGAGGGCUGCAACUCGCCCUCAUGAAGCUGGAAUCCGUAGUAAUCGC
RNAcentral lists this ribosomal RNA (569 nucleotides) under uncultured Methanosarcinales archaeon. Its description in RNAcentral is "bacterial SSU rRNA". It matches the Rfam family "Archaeal small subunit ribosomal RNA", at positions 733 to 1301 of the family's 1478-position model. The record is from RNAcentral. Lineage: Archaea; Methanobacteriati; Methanobacteriota; Methanomicrobia; Methanosarcinales.